GUCAGGCGGGGCCACCCGCCGAGUUUAAGCAUAUAAAUAAGCGGAGGAGAAGAAACUUACGAGGAUUCCCCUAGUAACGGCGAGCGAACCGGGAUCAGCCCAGCUUGAGAAUCGGGCGGCCGCGCCGUCCGAAUUGUAGUCUGGAGAAGCGUCCYCAGCGACGGACCGGGCCCAAGUCCCCUGGAAAGGGGCGCCGGGGAGGGUGAGAGCCCCGUCCG
This 218-nucleotide ribosomal RNA is filed under the name Heliconia robusta. Its description in RNAcentral is "partial 26S ribosomal RNA". It matches the Rfam family "Eukaryotic large subunit ribosomal RNA", at positions 11 to 227 of the family's 3401-position model. The record is from RNAcentral. Lineage: Eukaryota; Viridiplantae; Streptophyta; Magnoliopsida; Zingiberales; Heliconiaceae.